Small nucleolar RNA from Trypanosoma cruzi strain CL Brener, 66 nucleotides. It matches the Rfam family "Small nucleolar RNA TBR5", at positions 1 to 69 of the family's 94-position model. Rfam says of the family: TBR5 is a member of the C/D class of snoRNA which contain the C (UGAUGA) and D (CUGA) box motifs. Most of the members of the box C/D family function in directing site-specific 2'-O-methylation of substrate RNAs. The record is from Rfam. NCBI's taxonomy places the organism in Eukaryota, Euglenozoa, Kinetoplastea, Trypanosomatida, Trypanosomatidae.
GAUGUGAUCGACAACCAGGCCGAUGUAAAGCCGUCGCAGAUGGACGUUGACACAGCAAUGAAAACA